RNAcentral lists this ribosomal RNA (406 nucleotides) under uncultured bacterium. RNAcentral's name for it is "partial 16S ribosomal RNA". It matches the Rfam family "Bacterial small subunit ribosomal RNA", at positions 29 to 526 of the family's 1533-position model. The record is from RNAcentral.
AUUGAACGCUGGCGGCAGGCCUAACACAUGCAAGUCGAGCGAGCGGCGGACGGGUGAGUAAUGUAUGGGGAUCUGCCCGAUAGAGGGGGAUAACUAGUGGAAACGGUGGCUAAUACCGCAUACUAUCCGAUGAAGCCAUACGGGAUUAGCUAGUAGGUGGGGUAAAGGCACACCAAGGCGACGCUGCCUAGCUGGUCUGAGAGGAUGAUCAGCCACACUGGGACUGAGACACGGCCCAGACUCCUACGGGAGGCAGCAGUGGGGAAUAUUGCACAAUGGGCGCAAGCCUGAUGGAGCCAUGCCGCGUGUAUGAAGAAGGCCUUCGGGUUGUAAAGCACUUUCAUCGGGGAGGCGGUACCCGCAGAAGAAGCACCGGCUAACUCCGUGCCAGCAGCCGCGGUAAUUC